RNAcentral lists this ribosomal RNA (229 nucleotides) under uncultured bacterium. Its description in RNAcentral is "partial 16S ribosomal RNA". It matches the Rfam family "Bacterial small subunit ribosomal RNA", at positions 15 to 235 of the family's 1533-position model. The record is from RNAcentral.
GAUCAUGGCUCAGGAUGAACGCUGGCGGCGUGCUUAACACAUGCAAGUCGAACGAGAGAAGAUCGGUGCUUGCACUGAUCCGAUCGAGUGGCGGACGGGUGAGUAACGCGUGGGUAACCUGCCUCAUACAGGGAAUAACAGUUGGAAACGGCUGCUAAAACCGCAUAAGCGCACAGUAUCGCAUGAUACAGUGUGAAAAACUCCGGUGGUAUGAGGAGUCGGACCCGCG